This 552-nucleotide long non-coding RNA is filed under the name Glycine max (soybean). RNAcentral's name for it is "long non-coding RNA (GMAX_LNC002440)". The record is from RNAcentral. Lineage: Eukaryota; Viridiplantae; Streptophyta; Magnoliopsida; Fabales; Fabaceae.
UUUUUUCAACGCAAUAACCUUUUUCAUGACCAUCACCCUUCACCUUCAUUUACCGUCGUCGAAGACGAUCUCCAUCUAUCAUAGCCGGAGAUGAUUUCCGACGACGUCGUUUUUUUCCUACUUUUCUUUUUUUUAUCUCCUCUUCUUUUCUUCCGCUCUCCUUCUCCGACCACUGCGCGCAAAUUUGAAUGAGAUCUAAAAUGGGAAGCAAGCCUCAAACAAUGAUCCAAAGUAGCGAAGAUUCAAACCAAAAACUAAUCGUACCAAAAAUACUUUCAUCCACGAAAACCCCCAAAUCUGAAACCUUUCAUCGACAAGCCAACCCCAGAUCUGCGACAACCAUCAAGAAAUGUAGAAUUGCUGGUUCUAACUCAUCUGUCUUCACCUAUAAAUUGAGUGCUUCUUCCCCUAAGCAAACAUGGACGACGACACCUUCGCAGAAGUUCCAAGUGGUAUGCUGGAGUAUGAUGUCAGCGACGAUGGAAAUCUCGUCAGCAUGGUCGGGAUUGAUGAGGUCCUCAAUCGGGGUUUGAGGUUGAAUGAAAAUUGUUC